UACGUAGGGGGGCAAGCGUUGUCCGGAAUCAUUGGGCGUAAAGCGCACGUAGGCGGAUCGUUAAGUCAGGGGUGAAAUCCUGGAGCUCAACUCCAGAACUGCCUUCGAUACUGAGAGUCUCGAGUCCGGGAGAGGUGAGUGGAACUGCGAGUGUAGAGGUGAAAUUCGUAGAUAUUCGCAAGAACACCAGUGGCGAAGGCGGCUCACUGGCCCGGUACUGACGCUGAGGUGCGAAAGCGUGGGGAGCAAACAGG
This 254-nucleotide ribosomal RNA is filed under the name uncultured bacterium. RNAcentral's name for it is "partial 16S ribosomal RNA". It matches the Rfam family "Bacterial small subunit ribosomal RNA", at positions 524 to 776 of the family's 1533-position model. The record is from RNAcentral.